AAAACAUGGCUGAUGCAAGCCUUUAAGGAUGCUGCAUACCCAUGUCUCUUCUCACUAAUAGAACUGAGCUCCCAGUCAGCCUCUUCCACCUGACCCAGUGACCAUGAGGCGUGACCACAGGUGCCUGCUCUCUGGACAUCAGAACCAGACAUGGAAACGAGUCUUCAUGCAGAACAACUCUAAGAGACAACAUGGCAUCAUGGAAGGAGCAAUAAGACUGAUCCCUGCCUCACUCCUGCUUUUUGGAAGUUUGAGAUUCCAAACUCUGUACUAUGGUUUUGCCCUCUGGAUCCUGCCUGUUUCUGCCUGCAUUCUCUGAACUUGAUCUCCAGGCUUUAAUCCCGACUAAGCUUUGGAAACGUCCUUGCUUGCCAUUAGAUAGAGCAGGAGAGUGGAAGAUUAGCCCUGAACUAACUGCUGCCAAUCCUCUUCUUUAUCUGAGGAAGACUGGCCCUGAGCUAACAUCCGUGCCCAUCUUCCUCUACUUUAUAUGUGGGACGCCUGCCACAGCAUGGCUUGCCAAGCAGUGCCAUGCCCGCACCCGGGAUCCGAACCGGCAAACCCUGGGCCGCCGAAGUGGAACAUGUGCACUUAACCGCUGCACCACCGGCUGGCCCCUUGUCCUACAUUUUCUUUCCUCAUAUGUCUAAAAUAAAUUAUUCAGUAUUCUUCUGGCAUAAACCAUCUGUUGAAAUAUCUGAAGAUAAUUUGAUUUCUUUCCCUUAUUAGUCACAAGGCCUUUUUGCCUAGGUGACUAAAGGUUUAUUUUUUCUUUAAAAU
This 780-nucleotide long non-coding RNA is filed under the name Equus caballus (horse). Its description in RNAcentral is "lncRNA (ENSECAG00000045011.1)". Lineage: Eukaryota; Metazoa; Chordata; Mammalia; Perissodactyla; Equidae. The record is from RNAcentral.